Long non-coding RNA from Magallana angulata, 345 nucleotides. RefSeq lists it as uncharacterized. NCBI's taxonomy places the organism in Eukaryota, Metazoa, Mollusca, Bivalvia, Ostreida, Ostreidae. The transcript has 3 exons. The record is from RefSeq and is a predicted model, not a curated record.
GAAAAGUUCCGAAAACGUGGAAUCUAAAUAAUAUACCGUUUCCCUGCUCUGCUGCUAUUGGCAAUACAUUUUUGUCAUGUUAUCUGCAAUAGACGAUCAUACAUAUGUGGCGGAUUAUCGAUAUAGCUAGGUAGCAAUAGCAGUGGAAGCCCGGAUUUGCAAGCCAAAUGAGGGAAAGACAGAAUUCUGAAAAGGAGCAUGUUUUUCAUUUCCACACAUGCAUGUGUAUCACUAUGGACAUCUAAUGUUUUUGUGGGAUUUUGUCCAGCAGUUUGCCUUAAAAGAAUUUUUUUAUAUUUUAGUUUCAUAUUUAUGUGGAUUCCAAUAAAAAUCAUACAAACUUCA